Molecule: transfer-messenger RNA, 301 nt
Filed under: Alphaproteobacteria bacterium HT1-32
Lineage: Bacteria; Pseudomonadati; Pseudomonadota; Alphaproteobacteria
Description: Alphaproteobacteria transfer-messenger RNA
Rfam family: Alphaproteobacteria transfer-messenger RNA
About the family: Bacterial tmRNA, also known as 10Sa RNA or SsrA, is named for its dual tRNA and mRNA-like properties.
Source: Rfam by way of RNAcentral
ACCCUUCCAAAACCCCUGCUGACGUUCUAUAUUAACUCUGCCGGUUCGCCGGCUAUGGCGAUAAACGGGUUGUGGAAUAAGCAUAACGGACCCGGGGGCAGUGCCCGGCGCCUCCACCAAUUUCUCUUUUGGGGGCGAAACAGGAUCGACGUGUGUAGUAAAGACAACACUUUUGCUCGGCAUGGUACCACCGAUAUCGGACCAUUCCUACAAGUGCCAACGAUAACGUUGAACUUGCCGCUGCCGCCUAAUAGGCGUUAAGCGCGGCCCGGGGGGCGCCGGGCAACAGAAGCCCCCCACU